ACCUGGCUGGCUCAGUUGGUAGAGCAGGAGACUCUUGAUUUCAGGGUCGUGAGUUUGAGCUCUGCGUUGGGUG
Molecule: transfer RNA, 73 nt
Filed under: Felis catus (domestic cat)
Lineage: Eukaryota; Metazoa; Chordata; Mammalia; Carnivora; Felidae
Also listed under: 2 other names
Rfam family: tRNA
About the family: Transfer RNA (tRNA) molecules are approximately 80 nucleotides in length. Their secondary structure includes four short double-helical elements and three loops (D, anti-codon, and T loops).
Source: Rfam by way of RNAcentral